RNAcentral lists this ribosomal RNA (433 nucleotides) under uncultured bacterium. RNAcentral's name for it is "partial 16S ribosomal RNA". It matches the Rfam family "Bacterial small subunit ribosomal RNA", at positions 29 to 507 of the family's 1533-position model. The record is from RNAcentral.
AACGAACGCUGGCGGCAUGCCUAACACAUGCAAGUCGAACGAGACCUUCGGGUCUAGUGGCGCACGGGUGCGUAACGCGUGGGAAUCUGCCCUUGGGUUCGGAAUAACAGUGAGAAAUUACUGCUAAUACCGGAUGAUGUCUUCGGACCAAAGAUUUAUCGCCCAGGGAUGAGCCCGCGUAGGAUUAGCUAGUUGGUGGGGUAAUGGCCUACCAAGGCGACGAUCCUUAGCUGGUCUGAGAGGAUGAUCAGCCACACUGGGACUGAGACACGGCCCAGACUCCUACGGGAGGCAGCAAUGGGGAAUAUUGGAUAAUGGGCGCAAGCCUGAUCCAGCAAUGCCGCGUGAGUGAUGAAGGCCUUAGGGUUGUAAAGCUCUUUUACCCGGGAUGAUAAUGACAGUACCGGGAGAAUAAGCUCCGGCUAACUCCGUG